ACAUAGGUUGGCAGGAGGAUGGUGCUGCAAAACGAGAACACAUUUUCUCAGUUUGGGAUCAUGUUCCUGCAAAGUCUGACAUAACCAUUUUAAAUCACAAAAUGAGAUUAGCUCAGUUCAUUAGAGCAUGAUGCUAAUAAUGCCCAAGUUGUGAGUUUGAUCCCCAUACAGACCAUUCACUUAAGAGCUGGACUUGAUAAUCCUUGGGUCCCUUCCAACUCAGAAUAUUCUGUGAUUCUGUGAAAUUUCUCCUCCAGCUUGAAGAGCAGGGCCUAUAUGUAUAUGUGUGAAGACUUCUAUACCAACACUAAGUUCAGUUUGCAUGGACAGAUUUUGGUAGCAGGGGAGCUAACAGAGGCGGCUGCUGUAAGAAACUGCCAGAAGCUUCCACUGCGGCCCCAGGAGGAGUCCGUCAUCAGAGCAGGUGAACACCUGAAAGGAACCUGUGAAAACUUUUUGGAGCACAGUCCUGGCAGGGACCCGUGAACUCAGAGAGGGAUGGUCAAGCUGAAGCAGGUUUCCUGGUAGGACUUGUGUCCCUGUGGAGGACCCACACUGGAGCAGACUGUGGCUGAAAGACUGCACCCUGUGAAAAGGGACCCGUGUUGGAGCAGUUAAUGGAGAACCACUGCCUGUAGUCUGGAUGCACAUUGGAGAAGUUUGUGGAGGACUGUCUCCUGUGGGAGGGACCCCACACUGGAGCAGAGGAAGGACCCCUCUCCUUGCGCAGGAACAACUUGUGAUGAACUGGCUGUAACCCUAAUUUCCUGUCUCCCUGCACAGUAAUCAAUUCAAGUAAGAUCCUGAAGUUCAGUCCGUUCUGCUGGCAAUGGUAUUUGCGAGGAGCUGCAGAAACGGCAGAAGAGGCAGCAUGUGUCCUGUUUGCAGCGCUGAAAUGACACCAGGAUGCUUGGGCACAGACGGAGGAGAGCGGAUAGUGCCCCGGUGCGCUGAAGGGCUGAACUAGGAUCACUGCUACUGUAAAGCCUUAUGCAGGUGGCAAGUUGAGAGGAGCGGAGCCCCACCAGGAAAAAAAUCUUUGGGCGCGCCUUGGAGGUCCGUCUAUCCCCCCUGCCCCUGCUGGGACAGAGAACUCCUGGCUGGCUCGCCAAAAUGUUUUGCGGAGAAAAGAAGAAACUUCACAACUUUAUAAAAGUUGUAAAGCUCGUGCUUCACAGUUGUGUGCAUGAUCUGGUAGGAUGGUGAGACUACCACGUUUUCCUUGGACAAGUAUCAGAACUUCAACUUGAACAAGCUGGGAUUAAGUUUUACUCAUUUUAGAAGAGCAUUCCCAUCCAACAUAUGGACAAGACAGUUUGAAGAAGCACACUGCUUAAAUUGACAAUGAUUUAUUGUGUUUAGGAACAUUCAAUAAACACCAAUCUUUUAGCUUCAGUUUGGAAAUCCUUCCCCAUCAAAAAUCAGUUAUUUGUGUUGUUUUUUCUGGCAUAAACCCCAUUGCCAGCAAUGGAUGUAUCAGAAAAGAAGUUAAUAAAUACAAACAGACAGCAGUUUUCUAAACAUACCUCCUAUUUUAAAGGCAUGAUACAGAUUUACUAAACAAAUAUCAAACAAGUUCUUCACAGAAGAAAAUUUUGUUGCAAGCUGUCUCUAAACAUUGUUUUCUUCACUAAUGCUGGUAGUUUAUUUCAUGGAUUAUGGUAUUUUUGAACAGUAAUGAUGAAUCAUUUAAAAACAAGCCUUUUCCCCCUUUUCCUUUGCCAGAUGUAUGCUGAGAUACGUAGCUAAUACUGAACUGUGUGAAUUUAAGAGUGGUGUGCCUCUUGUUGAGCGUGUCAUGGCAAACAUGAAGAAACAGCAAUAUGGUACUUUUUUUACAAGGGAUCUGAGGAAUUUAUUUUUUCAUCUUGAUUUUAAACCACUGUUCAAGUGUUAAAGGUAUCACAUUUAAGUGUAACAGAUGUUUUGCGUAACUUUCUGUGAAGUGUAAAAACAAUGGAAGAUUCCUGUUUCUGAGGAAAAUAAUUUUCAAGUACUUAAAUUUGAAUAUCCCUCUAAACUCCAUUCAUAUCGUAUUAAAAAUGUGUAUAAAAGCAUGAAGACUACAGAAAACCAAUUAACAUAACAGAGUUAAUCUUGAAUAAGAUUUUCCACAACUGUAUUUUACAUAUAACCAAACUCCUGCUUUAGCAAAAGCAAAAAGAAUAAAAAUAAAUUCUCUCCCAA
This is a long non-coding RNA of Melospiza melodia melodia, 2187 nucleotides long. RefSeq lists it as uncharacterized. The transcript is spliced from 5 exons. Lineage: Eukaryota; Metazoa; Chordata; Aves; Passeriformes; Passerellidae. The record is from RefSeq and is a predicted model, not a curated record.